UAUUUCCAGUAGGGAGUCAAUACUUAAGUAAUUUGAAAUGACCACAAAUCUUGUUCUGAGCUUUUUACAGUAUUAUUUUAAAUAAAAAAAAUACAACACAUGUUCAUCUUAAACAGGUUGGAACCAGGAUUCUACUGAAAAUGCAGAUGGGGUCACUAUAAAUGAUGAAGAGUAUUUUACACUCCACCUCACACCCUGUGAACCACCAGAGGACGCAAACAGUCAAAAGGAGGCAAUCACACAGGCACAGGAGGUUGGGGAGGCAAGGACCAUGGAGCUGGAGGAGGCAAGGACCUCGCAGGUGGAUGAUAUUCAGACCACCAAGGGAGAGGUUGACCCACUGAGCAACCCAGAGGGACAAGUGGAGCAAGUGAACAACAAGACCAACAAAGAUGUCAACACAGGGUCCGCCAA
Archocentrus centrarchus (flier cichlid) is the source of this 414-nucleotide long non-coding RNA. RefSeq lists it as uncharacterized. The transcript is spliced from 3 exons. Lineage: Eukaryota; Metazoa; Chordata; Actinopteri; Cichliformes; Cichlidae. The record is from RefSeq and is a predicted model, not a curated record.